GUAUAUGUCCAUACCCCCUUGAACACGCCCGAUCUCGUCUGAUCUCGAAAGCUGAGCAGGGUUGGGCCUGGUUAGUUGUUGGUUGGGAAGAACAGACACCAGACUAGAAUGGACU
RNAcentral lists this ribosomal RNA (115 nucleotides) under Tursiops truncatus (common bottlenose dolphin). Lineage: Eukaryota; Metazoa; Chordata; Mammalia; Artiodactyla; Delphinidae. The record is from RNAcentral.